AUGGGGAGCUGCCAGGGCCAGGGCCACAGCCCUGGCACGGAGCAGGGGCGGGCCCCAGUAAGGCUGAGAGGGUGUCCUGCCAAGGGGACCUGGGUGUUUCCGUCCUCUGUCCCUGGGACACUGACUGACCGCGGCCUCUGUCUUUGCAGUGCGCAACGUUUACCCCCGUGGUGCUGCAGAAGAGGAGCAGCUCUUCAUCUUCGCUCCCCAGCACACCACAGAGUGAGGAGCAUGGCAGCAGAGGAGGAAUGGGUAUGUCCCAUCUGCCGUGAUGCGCGCAAGGACAUUGCCUACGCGAUGCCGUGCCGUCACGAGUUCUGCCUCGGCUGCAUCCUGCGGUGGGGCAAGCAGCAGGACAGCUGCCCUCUCUGCAGGAGGGUGAUGGAAGUGGUCAAGGUGGCAGCGUUGGAUGAUGACGAGGACCUGGACUUCGUCAUCUGGCCUCCAGCAACACCUGUACCCGCCUGCUUCCAGGGAGCCAUAGCUCCCAGUUUCAGCAGCUCAGGCUCUUCGCUAUCCUCUUCGCCACCCCCUUCACCGUGGUCGGAUGAGGAGGUGGAUGAGGAGGUAGAGGUAGAGAUAGAGGCAGAGGAGGUGCCUACGGUGGGCGGUCUCCCACCUGACAUCUGGGCAGAUCUGUUCAGGCAGCACCAACAGAUCCUGGACCCUGUGCUGCCCUGGCUGCGCCAACAGCUGCGAGCCAUCUUUCACACACACUGGUGGCCGGCAAUGGCAGCGGAGGCCUACCUCCUGAAUGCCCUGUGUGAAAACGGGCCGGACGGUGAGUGGCUGACGGAGCUGAUACGGCCUGCCCUGGACAACAGAGCAGAGGCAUUCGUCCAAGAGCUUCUCAACACCAUUGUGCACGAGUGCGGUGAGGAGGCGCACAGACUGCUGGCUCUGCAGGACACCCACGUGCCUGAGGGGCGGGAGGAGGGCCCUGCAGCCAGGGGGCAGGAGGACAGCCCUGUGGCCGCUCCUGGCCCCACUGCCUCCCCGGAACUGGACCUCACAUCGGGGCCCAGAGUCAGCACUGCAAGUCCCAGCAUUGAGGAGGAGACCCGCACAGCAGUGGCUGACGUUCUUGUGGGUCCCAGUCACGUCCCUGCUGCACACUUGGCGAGGGAAGCGGAGGAGCCCAAUGAAGAGAUGGAGCAGGCAAUGGCAGCAGGUCCCUCUGCCCGGGGCAGCAGCCCCUCUGCUCCUGGCCACUCUCCUGAGAGGGCCCGGCGGCCCCCGAAGAGGAGGGCUGACAGUGACCAGGACUCACAGCCGCCCUGCAAGAGGCCGCCCCCUCGGCCUCAGUAG
This 1308-nucleotide long non-coding RNA is filed under the name Phasianus colchicus (ring-necked pheasant). Its description in RNAcentral is "lncRNA (ENSPCLG00000011421.1)". The record is from RNAcentral. Lineage: Eukaryota; Metazoa; Chordata; Aves; Galliformes; Phasianidae.